AUUGAACGCUGGCGGCAGGCCUAACACAUGCAAGUCGAACGAGUGGCGGACGGGUGAGUAAUGUCUGGGAAACUGCCUGAUGGAGGGGGAUAACUACUGGAAACGGUAGCUAAUACCGCAUACCAUCAGAUGUGCCCAGAUGGGAUUAGCUUGUUGGUGGGGUACCGGCUAACCAAGGCGACGAUCCCUCGCUGGUCUGAGAGGAUGACCAGCCACACUGGAACUGAGAUACGGUCCGGACUCCUACGCGAGGCAGCAGGGGGGAAGAUUGUACAAUGGGCGAAAGCCUGAUGCAGCCAUGCCGCGUGUAUGAAGAAGGCCUGCGGGUGGGAAAGUACUUUCAGCGGGGAGGCGUUACCCGCAGAAGAAGCACCGGCUAACUCCGUGCCAGCAGCCGCGGUAAUUC
This 406-nucleotide ribosomal RNA is filed under the name uncultured bacterium. RNAcentral's name for it is "partial 16S ribosomal RNA". It matches the Rfam family "Bacterial small subunit ribosomal RNA", at positions 30 to 526 of the family's 1533-position model. The record is from RNAcentral.